Loxodonta africana (African savanna elephant) is the source of this 71-nucleotide transfer RNA. It matches the Rfam family "tRNA". From Rfam's summary of the family: Transfer RNA (tRNA) molecules are approximately 80 nucleotides in length. The record is from Rfam. NCBI's taxonomy places the organism in Eukaryota, Metazoa, Chordata, Mammalia, Proboscidea, Elephantidae.
GCAGUGGUGAUUCGGUGGUAGAGUUCUCGCCUCCCAUGCAGGAGACCUGGGUUCGAUUCCCGGCCAAUGUA